UCGUGGAGCUCCGGCUCCUUCGAGGGAGAACCCUUGCCUUUUCGAGCACCUGUUUGUUUCCUCGGCAGGCCCGCCUGCCAAUGGGGACCCCUUUAAACUCUUGCAAUAACCUGUAUGAGAUCGUCUGAACAAAACAAACAAAUCA
RNAcentral lists this unclassified non-coding RNA (145 nucleotides) under soil metagenome. RNAcentral describes it as "partial internal transcribed spacer 1". The record is from RNAcentral.